AUUGAACGCUGGCGGCAUGCCUUACACAUGCAAGUCGAACGGUAACGGGCCUUCGGGUGCCGACGAGUGGCGAACGGGGGAGUAAUGUAUCGGAACGUACCUUUCAGUGGGGGAGUAACGUAGCGAAAGUUACGCUAAUACCGCAUAUUCUGUGAGCAGGAAAGCAGGGGAUCGCAAGACCUUGCGCUGAUUGAGCGGCCGAUAUCAGAUUAGCUAGUUGGUGAGGUAAAGGCUCACCAAGGCGACGAUCUGUAGCGGGUCUGAGAGGAUGAUCCGCCACACUGGAACUGAGACACGGUCCAGACUCCUACGGGAGGCAGCAGUGGGGAAUUUUGGUACAAUGGGGGCGAACCCUGAUCCAGCCAUGCCGCGUGAGUGAAGAAGGCCUUCGGUUGGUAAGGUACUCUUUCGGUCCGGGGAACGGAAAGUA
Molecule: ribosomal RNA, 430 nt
Filed under: uncultured bacterium
Lineage: Bacteria
Description: bacterial SSU rRNA
Rfam family: Bacterial small subunit ribosomal RNA
Source: RNAcentral